GACGAACGCUGGCGGCGUGCUUAACACAUGCGAGUCGAACGGAAAGGCCCUGCUUUUGUGGGGUGCUCGAGUGGCGAACGGGUGAGUAGCACGUGAGUAACCUGCCCUUGACUUUGGGAUAACUUCAGGAAACUGGGGCUAAUACCGGAUAGGAGCUCCUGCUGCAUGGUGGGGGUUGGAAAGUUUCGGCGGUUGGGGAUGGACUCGCGGCUUAUCAGCUUGUUUGUGGGGUAGUGGCUUACCAAGGCUUUGACGGGUAGCCGGCCUGAGAGGGUGACCGGCCACAUUGGGACUGAGAUACGGCCCAGACUCCUACGGGAGGCAGCAGUGGGGAAUAUUGCACAAUGGGCGGAAGCCUGAUGCAGCAACGCCGCGUGCGGGAUGACGGCCUUCGGGUUGUAAACCGCUUUCGCCUGUGACGAAGCGUGAGUGACGGUAAUGGGUAAAGAAGCACCGGCUAACUACGUG
Molecule: ribosomal RNA, 468 nt
Filed under: uncultured bacterium
Lineage: Bacteria
Description: partial 16S ribosomal RNA
Rfam family: Bacterial small subunit ribosomal RNA
Source: RNAcentral